This 229-nucleotide ribosomal RNA is filed under the name uncultured bacterium. RNAcentral's name for it is "partial 16S ribosomal RNA". It matches the Rfam family "Bacterial small subunit ribosomal RNA", at positions 568 to 796 of the family's 1533-position model. The record is from RNAcentral.
UGCGUAGGCGGAUUAAUAAGUCAGUGGUGAAAACCUGCAGCUUAACUGUAGAACUGCCAUUGAUACUGUUAGUCUUGAGUACGGUCAAGGUAGGCGGAAUGUGUAAUGUAGCGGUGAAAUGCUUAGAUAUUACACAGAACACCGAUUGCGAAGGCAGCUUACUGGGCCAUUACUGACGCUGAGGCACGAAAGCGUGGGGAGCGAACAGUAUUAGAUACCCUGGUAGUCC